UACAGAGGUCCCAAGCGUUGUUCGGAUUCACUGGGCGUAAAGGGUGCGUAGGCGGUUUGAUAAGUCUGAUGUGAAAUCCCGCAGCUUAACUGCGGAACUGCAUUGGAUACUGUUUGACUAGAGGAAUGGAGGGGAGACUGGAAUACUUGGUGUAGCAGUGAAAUGCGUAGAUAUCAAGUGGAACACCAGUGGCGAAGGCGAGUCUCUGGACAUUUCCUGACGCUGAGGCACGAAAGCCAGGGGAGCGAACAGG
Molecule: ribosomal RNA, 253 nt
Filed under: uncultured bacterium
Lineage: Bacteria
Description: partial 16S ribosomal RNA
Rfam family: Bacterial small subunit ribosomal RNA
Source: RNAcentral